GACGAACGCUGGCGGCGUGCUUAACACAUGCAAGUCGAACGGAAAGGCCUUUUCGGUGGUACUCGCGUGGGGAACGGGUGAGUAACACGUGGGUGAUUAGCCCUGCACUCUGGGAUAAGUCUGGGCAACUGGGUCUAAUACCGGCUAGGAACGCACUCCAGCGUGUGUGGGGGAAAGGUUUUUGGGGGUAGGAUGAGCCCGCAGUCUUUGAGCUUGUUGGUGGGGUAAUGGGCUUCCAAGGCGGCGGCGGGGAGCCGGACCGGGGGGGUGGACGGGCACCUUGGGACUUGGAAUAGGCCCAGGAUCCUAAGGGGGGCAACAGGUGGGAAAUAUUGACAAUGGGGGGAAGCCUGGUUGAGCGACGCCGCGGGGGGGAUGACGGCCUUCGGGUUGUAAACCCGUUUCGCCAGGGACGAAACGGUGUGUGACGGUAACUGGUGAAGAAGCACCGGCUAACUACGUG
RNAcentral lists this ribosomal RNA (463 nucleotides) under uncultured bacterium. Its description in RNAcentral is "partial 16S ribosomal RNA". It matches the Rfam family "Bacterial small subunit ribosomal RNA", at positions 28 to 507 of the family's 1533-position model. The record is from RNAcentral.